Glossina austeni is the source of this 198-nucleotide non-coding RNA. Lineage: Eukaryota; Metazoa; Arthropoda; Insecta; Diptera; Glossinidae. The record is from Rfam.
ACUGAGCCCCCACCAUCGUAGCGUGCUAAUGCCAACCAGCCUCCGCGGAGUAAUACCUAACGGUGGUCCCGCGGAGGAGAAUGCUAGAAGAAGUGUGUGGGGGGGUAGUUUUUAGUACGUAAGCGUCAUGGAUGGCGAAUCGUGCAUGCUGCUACUAAGAACCAGCAAUAUCUUCCGAAGAUUUUCUACCUCCUGCUC